AGCUUGCUACCUGACCUAGCGGCGGACGGGUGAGUAAUGCUUAGGAAUCUGCCUAUUAGUGGGGGACAACAUUCCGAAAGGAAUGCUAAUACCGCAUACGCCCUACGGGGGAAAGCAGGGGAUCUUCGGACCUUGCGCUAAUAGAUGAGCCUAAGUCAGAUUAGCUAGUUGGUGGGGUAAAGGCCUACCAAGGCGACGAUCUGUAGCGGGUCUGAGAGGAUGAUCCGCCACACUGGGACUGAGACACGGCCCAGACUCCUACGGGAGGCAGCAGUGGGGAAUAUUGGACAAUGGGCGAAAGCCUGAUCCAGCCAUGCCGCGUGUGUGAAGAAGGCCUUUUGGUUGUAAAGCACUUUAAGCGAGGAGGAGGCUACUUGGAUUAAUACUCUAGGAUAGUGGACGUUACUCGCAGAAUAAGCACCGGCUAACUCUGUGCCAGCAGCCGCGGUAAUACAGAGGGUGCGAGCGUUAAUCGGAUUUACUGGGCGUAAAGCGUGCGUAGGCGGCUUUUUAAGUCGGAUGUGAAAUCCCUGAGCUUAACUUAGGAAUUGCAUUCGAUACUGGGAAGCUAGAGUAUGGGAGAGGAUGGUAGAAUUCCAGGUGUAGCGGUGAAAUGCGUAGAGAUCUGGAGGAAUACCGAUGGCGAAGGCAGCCAUCUGGCCUAAUACUGACGCUGAGGUACGAAAGCAUGGGGAGCAAACAGGAUUAGAUACCCUGGUAGUCCAUGCCGUAAACGAUGUCUACUAGCCGUUGGGGCCUUUGAGGCUUUAGUGGCGCAGCUAACGCGAUAAGUAGACCGCCUGGGGAGUACGGUCGCAAGACUAAAACUCAAAUGAAUUGACGGGGGCCCGCACAAGCGGUGGAGCAUGUGGUUUAAUUCGAUGCAACGCGAAGAACCUUACCUGGUCUUGACAUAGUAAGAACUUUCCAGAGAUGGAUUGGUGCCUUCGGGAACUUACAUACAGGUGCUGCAUGGCUGUCGUCAGCUCGUGUCGUGAGAUGUUGGGUUAAGUCCCGCAACGAGCGCAACCCUUUUCCUUAUUUGCCAGCGGGUUAAGCCGGGAACUUUAAGGAUACUGCCAGUGACAAACUGGAGGAAGGCGAGGACGACGUCAAGUCAUCAUGGCCCUUACGACCAGGGCUACACACGUGCUACAAUGGUCGGUACAAAGGGUUGCUACCUAGCGAUAGGAUGCUAAUCUCAAAAAGCCGAUCGUAGUCCGGAUUGGAGUCUGCAACUCGACUCCAUGA
RNAcentral lists this ribosomal RNA (1251 nucleotides) under uncultured Acinetobacter sp. RNAcentral describes it as "bacterial SSU rRNA". It matches the Rfam family "Bacterial small subunit ribosomal RNA", at positions 77 to 1323 of the family's 1533-position model. Lineage: Bacteria; Pseudomonadati; Pseudomonadota; Gammaproteobacteria; Moraxellales; Moraxellaceae. The record is from RNAcentral.